RNAcentral lists this ribosomal RNA (253 nucleotides) under uncultured bacterium. RNAcentral's name for it is "partial 16S ribosomal RNA". It matches the Rfam family "Bacterial small subunit ribosomal RNA", at positions 524 to 776 of the family's 1533-position model. The record is from RNAcentral.
UACGUAGGUGGCAAGCGUUGUCCGGAUUUAUUGGGUUUAAAGGGUGCGUAGGCGGCUUUGUAAGUCAGUGGUGAAAUAUGGCAGCUCAACUGUCAGGGUGCCAUUGAUACUGUGGUGCUUGAGUGUAGUCGAGGUAGGCGGAAUUGACGGUGUAGCGGUGAAAUGCUUAGAUAUCGUCAAGAACACCUAUAGCGAAGGCAGCUUACUAGGCUGUAACUGACGCUGAGGCACGAAAGUGUGGGGAUCAAACAGG